GAUGAAGAACGUAGCGAAAUGCGAUACGUAAUGUGAAUUGCAAAUUCAGUGAAUCAUCGAGUCUUUGAACGCACAUUGCGCCCCCUGGUAUUCCGGGGGGCAUGCCUGUCCGAGCGUCAUUGCUGCCCUCAAGCACGGCUUGUGUGUUGGGCCCCGUCCUCCGAUCCCGGGGGACGGGCCCGAAAGGCAGCGGCGGCACCGCGUCCGGUCCUCGAGCGUAUGGGGCUUUGUCACCCGCUCUGUAGGCCCGGCCGGCGCUUGCCGAUCAACCCAAAUUUUUAUCCAGGUUGACCUCGGUUCAGGUAGGGAUACCCGCUGAACUUAAGCAUAUCAAUAAGCGGAGGA
This 345-nucleotide unclassified non-coding RNA is filed under the name soil metagenome. RNAcentral describes it as "partial contains 5.8S ribosomal RNA, internal transcribed spacer 2, and large subunit ribosomal RNA". The stretch from base 1 to 119 matches the Rfam family "5.8S ribosomal RNA", at positions 35 to 154 of the family's 154-position model. The record is from RNAcentral.